Amaranthus tricolor (Joseph's coat) is the source of this 827-nucleotide long non-coding RNA. RefSeq lists it as uncharacterized. NCBI's taxonomy places the organism in Eukaryota, Viridiplantae, Streptophyta, Magnoliopsida, Caryophyllales, Amaranthaceae. The transcript has 3 exons. The record is from RefSeq and is a predicted model, not a curated record.
AAGUAGUAGCCGCUUCUUCUUCUUAGCCCUAAAUCAUUUCCGCUUCUUCUUCAUCCUCAGCCGCUUCAUCUUCAUCCUCAACCUCAGGCGGCCUCAGCCCUAAAUCUAUGGGACGUCGAGCUUCAAGUAGUAGUCGCCGCCGCCCUCCGUUCCCAUGAAAAGGGUAUUCGCCAUCACCUCUUGGACAAUUCUUUUCUUCUUCAUCAUCUCCCACUCCUCAAGAAGGCGUUUUCAUCUUAUGAGAAUUCUUCUUCUCAAGGUAGAACACAACUAGAUGACUACUUAGGUGAGCAUAAAUUGGAUCCUUUGUCGGAUUUGGAUGUUCUUGGUUGGUGGAAGGAUAAUGCUAAAAGGUUUCCACAAGUUGCAAGUAUGGCAAGAGAUUUGUUAAGUAUUCCAAUUACUACUGUUGCUUCCGAGUCGAGUUUUAGCUUGAGAAGUAGGAUACUAACAAAAUGGAGAGCUUCCUUACUACCGUCUACCGGAGAGUGCCGAGACUUUGGUCACAACCCGAAGUUGGCUAUAUAAAUAUGAUGUUGAAAAAGAUAACAAUUCUCUUGAAGACGGUGUUGAAAUUCCGAUUUUGCGGGAUCCAAACAAAGAACCUCAAGUUAUCGGCGUAGAAGAAAGCGGAGUUGAAAUUCUUGAAGAUGAUGAUUUUUAGUAAAUGUUGUCUUAGAUUAUUAAAUAGUAGACUAUGAACAAGUUUAUUAAAUUCUAAUUGUCAUACUUUGUUGAAGUAAUUUUAUUUUCUGUUUCAUGCAACUUUUGAUAUGUACUCUAUAUAAAUUACAAUUUUAUCGUAAUAGGUACAUAUUAAUAUAUUA